CCAGUAGCGGCGAGCGAACGGGGAGCAGCCCAGAGUCUGAAUCAGCUUGUGUGUUAGUGGAACGGUCUGGAAAGUCCGACGGUACAGGGUGAUAGUCCCGUACACCAAAAUGCACAGGUUGUGAACUCGAAGAGUAGGGCGGGACACGUGGUAUCCUGUCUGAAUAUGGGGGGACCAUCCUCCAAGGCUAAAUACUCCUGACUGACCGAUAGUGAACCAGUACCGUGAGGGAAAGGC
Molecule: ribosomal RNA, 237 nt
Filed under: Klebsiella pneumoniae
Lineage: Bacteria; Pseudomonadati; Pseudomonadota; Gammaproteobacteria; Enterobacterales; Enterobacteriaceae
Description: partial 23S ribosomal RNA
Rfam family: Bacterial large subunit ribosomal RNA
Source: RNAcentral